This 566-nucleotide long non-coding RNA is filed under the name Vulpes vulpes (red fox). Its description in RNAcentral is "lncRNA (ENSVVUG00000030323.1)". The record is from RNAcentral. Lineage: Eukaryota; Metazoa; Chordata; Mammalia; Carnivora; Canidae.
GUCAGGGGUGCAUGGAGAGGAGGGGCAUAUGUGGGAGGAGGAAGGAGUCCAAGGCACUCGAGGUGCAUUAACCAUGAAGCUAGAGAAACACAUCUUUUCGGGUUCCUAGUUCGGCUGGACCUCUGCAGGAAAAACAACAACAACAACAACAACAACAACAACAACAACAAAAAACAAGUUUUAUUCUAACAAUCAGAGUUCCAGCAAUGUUUUCCUAGGGAUUCAUCUUGCCGUGAGCUGGCUCUAAUUGAGGUUGGACAGUAAGCACUGGAGAAACUGGGGCCGUGGCCGUGGGAGUUGUGGGGAAGUUUAAACCUAGAAACGUACCUAGGAGCGGCAGGGAUGUAGGCACUGGCAUAAAGCAUAAGGAUGGAUACACCCUCCUGGACAAAACCUGCUUGAAACCUAUUAGUACUUUAAAAAGGAACAGGGCCAGGACAGGAGUACAGAUACACAAACAGGACAACCUUAGUGGAAUGAGUCAAAAGCUAGCCAGCUUGUUGUCAACCCCCGUUAGCACCGAUCGAAAGGAGAGACGCCUCCUCAACUGGGGUUCGAAGCUGUGA